Molecule: long non-coding RNA, 938 nt
Organism: Panicum virgatum (switchgrass)
Lineage: Eukaryota; Viridiplantae; Streptophyta; Magnoliopsida; Poales; Poaceae
Exons: 2
Source: RefSeq, a predicted model, not a curated record
CUGGGCGACGCGAGCGGAACGGGGAGGGGCGUCUCCACCACCGUGGAAAAGGUUUUCAAAGCGUUGGUCCAUGCCCUGGUGGGCCUAGUGCAAAGAUGGCUUCAGAAAUCCAUAUUAAGGAGGAACCAACCGAUGGUAUUGUAGAAAAACAUUAGAAAAUCAGUUGCAUUUUGAAUCUUUCCUUUCUUACGGCCUAAAACUAUCUGCAGGUGAACAUGUUUUCUCAGAAAGUGACAUGCAUAAAAUUUCUCGUGAAUCUCUGUAAACCAAAGACUCUGGUGGUACAUCUCAGCCUCCCUACUUUUUACCAAGCAAGAGUGGCCUAUCUAAAUCCCAAAAGAAGGUUGUUGAGGAGAGAGUGCGAGCCAUCCAAUCCGAAGUUCCCAUUUAUGUAGCAAUCAUGAGGGAGAGUAGCUUUGCUGUACCUUCACGUUCGAUGCUAGAAUUAGGUUCGCGAUAUGCUACUGCUGUGCAUCUUCCAGCUAGAGGGCAAACCGCGGUGCUCCAGUGCAUGAGGAAGAUAUGGAAGACCAAAAUGGUGUCUCAGAGGGGCCGCAGAUGGUAUCUAACUGUAGGUUGGUCAAAAUUCGUCCGUGGCAAUGGUCUGCAAGUCGGCGAUAUCUGCCUCUUCGAACCGAAGGACAAGACGAAGCUUACCAUGAAGGUCCAUAUCAUCUCCAGGGAGGAGCUUUAGUUCGUGGCAGUAAGCUGCUUAAAAAAAAAGAACAAAUAAUGCCGCUUCAAAAGUUCGUAGCUAUGAUGACCCUUGUUGUUCUGCUGGUGCCUUGCGGGUUAUUUUUCUGUUUCGUACUUUGAAAUAAUCCUUGGCUGUGGCCAGUUUAUCUGUGCAACACUUGAUGCAGUCAUGCAGUCUAUCACUAACCAUCCUGAAUGGCCUAGUAAUAAGUUUUACACGAUGCGACAUCUUUUGCGAGUUA